GAUGAACGCUGGCGGCGUGCCUAAUACAUGCAAGUCGAGCGAACGGACGAGAAGCUUGCUUCUCUGAUGUUAGCGGCGGACGGGUGAGUAACACGUGGAUAACCUACCUAUAAGACUGGGAUAACUUCGGGAAACCGGAGCUAAUACCGGAUAAUAUUUUGAACCGCAUGGUUCAAAAGUGAAAGACGGUCUUGCUGUCACUUAUAGAUGGAUCCGCGCUGCAUUAGCUAGUUGGUAAGGUAACGGCUUACCAAGGCAACGAUGCAUAGCCGACCUGAGAGGGUGAUCGGCCACACUGGAACUGAGACACGGUCCUGACUCCUACGGGAGGCAGCAGUAGGGAAUCUUCCGCAAUGGGCGAAAGCCUGACGGAGCAACGCCGCGUGAGUUAUGAAGGUCUUCGGAUCGUAAAACUCUGUUAUUAGGGAAGAACAUAUGUGUAAGUAACUGUGCACAUCUUGACGGUACCUAAUCAGAAAGCCACGGCUAACUACGUG
Molecule: ribosomal RNA, 497 nt
Filed under: uncultured bacterium
Lineage: Bacteria
Description: partial 16S ribosomal RNA
Rfam family: Bacterial small subunit ribosomal RNA
Source: RNAcentral